Molecule: long non-coding RNA, 6724 nt
Organism: Marmota monax (woodchuck)
Lineage: Eukaryota; Metazoa; Chordata; Mammalia; Rodentia; Sciuridae
Exons: 5
Source: RefSeq, a predicted model, not a curated record
UCUCUCUUAACCCCUUCCCCUCUGUGAAAUUUCCAGAACAUGAAUCUCUUAACCCUCAUUAGAGAGUUAGGGUUUCUAAUCAAGAACAAAGAGACUUUUAAACCAUGUGGACACCAUGAGUAUAGGAAGGGAGAAAGAAGAAUUCAUCCUCAAAAACUACAACUGUGCAAACUUUUACUGAAACUUAGGAAAAUAAAGUCCUUCCCUAAGCUCUUCUAUUCAACCCUCCACCCUGUAGGUCCUCUGCCUGCUUCAGAAGACAACAGGGAGAGGCUUGCUCUGAAGCCUGUGAGGAUCAGGAGAAUUGCUGUGGAGCCCCCAAGCUCACAAUGGGAUUUGGAGACCUACCCUGGACAUUAAGGAGCUGGUGGAAGAAGCCAUCCUCUGAUAUGCCUUCGCCUAGAUCAGGCCUAGAUGGGAGGUAAGGAGUAGCCUCUGGGAGAACCCUGGGAGAACAUCCACUGGUGAAUGCAGCUGUUGCUUUCUGGACAACCCACAGUCUGCGUGGGCAGGGAAGAGCUUGAGAAACAAGAUGCAUGGAGCCAAUGCAUGACAGCAAGCUGCUCCUGAGCAGAUGAUGGACUGAGGGAGAGUUUUGCAACUGCUCAGGAUGGUGUAAACUCUUGCUUCGUUAGUGCCAAAGCCUAGGGCUUCGUGUCCUUCCCGAAUAGGAGCUGAAAGGAGUUAACAACAAGUAGCAGUUGACAUUUACUGAGGGCUGCUUUCAAGGCACAGAAGCACACUGCUGUCUCUACCUCCUUCAUUCCACAGCAAGCUCAGCAGACUGGCUGUAUAUAUUCAGUGGUGAAAGGACUUCUACUUAAUGCAUCUGAACACAGAGGUGAUGAUGUUCCUGGUAGGAUGCAAAAAACUCUUGGAAACAUUCACAUUACAGUGCUUCGGAGUCAUUGUCCUGCCUAGAGGGCUCACCUGCUAAACCUAGAGGUGCUCAACCCCACCAGGAUGCUCACUGCAAAUGCCUGCUGUUCUCUGCCUGUGAGCUUUAAUUCUGGCUCAUGCCCAAGGAAAACCAGCAUUGCUGGAGAUAAGAACCCAGAUGCAAGCUUCAAUCAAUGUUGGAAUAGACAUUGGAAGACAAAGGCACCAUCUUCCUUGCAGAAAUACUGGUGUCCAAGCAACACAGAGAGGCUCUUGGAAGAAAUGGAUGUUAUCCUUCCUGCUACUUCCCACAGGAAGCUAAAGCCCCUCUCUAAAGCUGAUGAGAUUGGGUGCUGCCUUAAGCAGCAGCUGAAUCUUGGGAAGAAGAGCUACUCAGCUUUGCCAGAACCAGACUCAUCAUGUUGGACAGACCAGACUCCAUGUGUAGGCAGCCUCCACCAAAGCCAAGUUCUCUGCAAAGAGUGACAGAAGAAGAUGCCAACUGAUUCCUUGUACAGGAUGGGCUGCGUCAGCAUCAUCUCUGUGUACCUGUCAAUCUUCAGGAUCUUCUGGGUGAGCCACACCUGGGACUACAAACCAAGCAAUGAGGGACCAGUCCCCAGGACUGUGGGGUUACUGGCUUGGGUUUAUACAGGCCUCAGUUCAAAUUCUGGUGAUCUUGGGGAAGUCAUUUUAUCCCCCCCAAACCGGGUUUCCCUAUCUGUAAAAUGGGGCUGUUGAUAGUGGUUGUUUACUACAUUGGGUUUAGGAAGAUUAGAUAAUGUAUAUGCAACCUCUAAUCCAGUGCCUGGCAAGAGUAGAUGAUCAAUAAACAUCCAACUGACUAUUCUUCCUCCCAGGAAUGCCCUUUCUUUUCUACUUUGUGCUUUCUGUCCUGUGUUAUAGCUUAUUCCAAUUGUUUCUUGCUCUGCCCUCCCUCUUUUGCUCUUAAGCUCUGGCCAAUGGACCUCUUUCCUUAGGUACUCAUUCUCUGUUCCUGAUUCUCCCUGUUCUUGUUAGCUCCCCAAACUCCCCCAGUGUUUGAACUUGAGUAAUAUCAGAGAGUUAGAAAAAGAGAGAACAUGUCUGGGCUGCUUCAGUCUCUUUCUUUACACCCCCAUAUUCAGCAGCUUGCCAUAACCCAACCACUGCCCAUGGGAGCAACUGAGCUUAGUGGCUGUGGGUUGAGGAAUUCUGCACUCGGACCCCCCAGACUGCCUGGGUUCAAAUCCUAACCAGUUCUACCCUCCCAUACCUUAAGUAACCUCUUGGUGCCUAUUCUUUAUGUAGAAAUUGGGGAUGAUAACAGUAUUGUUAUAGUACCUCAGGGGCUGUGAUGAUGAAAUAAAUGCACAUAAAGUACCUGGCACACUGGUCCUUACUAAUGAGUUUACCAUCAUCAUCAUCGUCUGUCUAUAGAGAUGUGAUUUCAAUCUUUGAGAGCAAACUUUGUUCUUAGGGGUAUGAACCAAGCACUGGAGGAUCAAACUAAGGUGGAAUUUUCCACCUGGAAGAAGAAUCAGUUCUUACUUACACUCAAAGGUUUUGGACAACGUGACCACAGGUUGGAGACUUUCCGCACAGCUCAUGAGCUGGCUUUUGGCUGGCCCACUGUCUCUGGCAGGACACCAGAAGAUGCCAACACCAGAUGACUGCAUCUCAGGAGUUCUCAGAGCUGCUGGGCCAGAAGAUACACUGUUCUUUCACAUGCAUAGCUCUUACAGAAGAGUCGGGGCCAAUCCUUUUCAGAUUCCUUUUCCUCUGGUUAAUCAAAUUCUAAGAUGAUCACGAUGACUUCUUGUAAUGCUGUCAUUAAGACUAAUGGGGCCAAAUUCAGCUCACCGGUGGUUGCCAUAUGUUCUCUAAUGAUCCAUAAUGGGCACCAAUAAUGAAAGCCUUUUCUCAGAAAUUUGUUUUUUAAAUGAACUGACACUGUCUAGGGCUAAAUAAGAAGAUGACAUUGUCUUCAUUAAAAAAAACUAUAAAAUAUAUUAUUCUUGAAGGGGUCAGUAAAGUAGGAAUAAAAUAAAUUAAGCAACAACCUUUUGGACUCAAAAAAAAAGAUGGGGGUGACAUUCUCAGAGAACAUUUAAGGAACUACGGGUAUGGGGGAGACAGUAUAGAUCUGUGUCCUGGAGUAUGAAUUCAUCAAAUCCUUCGCUAGUUACUUUUGAGAAAGGCCCACUGUAGUGAACACCUGGGAUAUGGGCCCUCUCCUCUGAGGACUACCCCUUAUCCAUUCUCAAAGUCCAUGGGUUUUCAUGUCAAUCCUCCCAACUCUACUCAGUCAAGAUUGAACAAGAGUUGCAGGACUAGGCCAACAGAGUAUAUUCUCUCGAGGCCAGGGACCAGUUAAGGGAUGGGGAAGUCUUCAAAGGAGUUGGGCCCAGAUCGUUGUUCAAACUGUUGGGAGGGACAGACUCUUUUUUUUCCUGCUGGAUUUGGACUUCUAUGGAAGAAAAGACCAUCUUACAAUCAAAAGAAAAAGGUUUAUCUAAGAGGAGAGUCAACAUAAAGGAGAGCUGUGCUGAGAGAUGGUGACAGCUGGGUCCCCAUGGGAAGAUCCAAGUCUCUGGAUUCUGCCAGGUCUAAAAUAGACAUUCUUAAGUAUAUUUGUGAACCAUUAAGUUCCAUUUUACUCAAAGAUAUUUGAACUAGGUUUGCUGUUACUUGCAACCAAGAAUUCUGAUGGGUAAAUUUGCAGGAUAACACAUAGGGUAGUGAAUACUUUCCACACAGCUCAUGAGCUGGCUUUUGGCUGGCCUACUGUCUCUGGCAUGCCACCAGAAGAUGCCACCACCAGAUGACUGCAUCUCAGGAGUUGUCAGAGCUGCUGGGCCAGAAUAUUCAUUGUCUGUACAUUUCAAAGAUGUCACAUGGCGGGGAGUUUAUAGUAAUGCUCAGUUUCCAGAAGGACGGGACUAGCCAGACCUUGUUAGUAACAAGGAAGGCCCUGGAGAGUCCCCAAGCAAAGGCCCUGACAGUAACUUUAGUAGUGCAUGGUGCUUCAUGACUAUAUAUCAGCCUACAGCUGAAUGUCCAGAAGGCAGUUUCUAUAGUUCAUUUAAAGUGUGAGAAAAAGAAUGGGUGUCACCAGUCCAAGUGAAAAUAAACACCAAUUUCCCUUCUGCAGGUUUAGCACAGUAAAUGAAGGCUAAAUAUAGCAACUCUAAGGAGUAAAAAUAAGUAGGAUUUUUCUGUAAGGCUGUGUGUUCACUAUUUAUAUGCUCUCCUUAUUAAUCCCACUACGAAUCUGGCCUGUCUCAAUUGUCUUUGAGCCGUUCUCCCCUCUUGGAGUUCAGAGCGGGUCUCCUGGAGAUAUACUCCAACAUAAACAGUCCUUGCUGAAAGCUGAAGGUUAUCAGAAUGUGUCUGAUGUGUUUGGUUUGCGUUGUAACAUAAGAGAGAGAAAUACAGCUUAUUUUCAAAUCUAUCUGGUUGGCUUUUUAACAAUAUAAAACUCAAAGCAAAAAAGAAUGUCACCGGACCUUAUAUGACACUUAGAAAUGGAAACAGGCUCUUUGUGGAAGAGAAUGUGUGUAUGUGUGGGGGGAGUUCCAGAUGGUGAAGCCUAUUUGACUGUGAAGCAAAACUGUGAUGAAAAUAGGGAACGUCUCAGGCAAGUCAAUUACACAAGAUAUAUUGGUAGAAGAUGUUCCAUGGGGAUCGAGCUAGCAUGAAGUGCUGGAAUGGGAAGAAAACAUUACUAGGCUUCCCCAGCUUUAGCACCUAAAAGAAGUAAAAAUCAUUGACACAAGAAACCAAACAACUGUAAUAUUAUAGAUGAGAAACAUAUGUUCUAACUUAACUAUGAACAGCUCUCUGCAUAUGCCCUGUGUGUUCCUGCCUCUGAGCCUUUUGUCAUUGUUCUCCACUGUCAAAUUCCAAUCUAUCUUUCAAGAUGCAAGCUCGAGUGCCAGUUUGAUUACAAAGCCUUCCUCGACCAAUCCAGCUCAGUCACCUCUCCUGUUUGGAAAAGUCUAGCAGAACGUAGCAUUUAGAUCUUUCAAUCUUGUUUUUACAGUUAUUUUAUAUUUCUGUGUUCUGUCAUCAUUAAGGGCACUCUCCCCAACUAAUUCAUCUUUAAUACACAGGCAUAGUCUAGAGAUACUGCAGGUUCAGCUCCAAACCACAGCAGUAAAGCAAGUCCCAUGAAAUAUUUGAUUUCCCAGUACAUAUAAAAAUUAUGUUUUCACUACAGUCUAUUAAGUAUGCAACAGCAUUAUGUGUAAAAAGAACCAAUUUAUAUACUUUAAUUAAAAAUACUUUAUUGCUAAAAUAUGCUAAUGAUCAAAGCAGGGUUGUAACAAAUUUCCAACUUGUAAAAAACACUGUAUCUACAAAGUUCAAUACAGUGAAGCUACAAUAAAAUGAAUUAUGCCUAUGAUGUGCUUGCAUAUUGAAGACAUUCAGUGACAACUAUUGAAUGAUUGAGAGAAUAAAAAGUAAGAACUGGAGUAAAGCACUUGCCUAGCGUACGUAAGCUCCUGGGUUCAAUCCCCAGCACCAUGAAACAACAAUGACAAACCUCAUAGGGACACUCUGGUCACUGAAGACUCAAACUCCCUGAACUAGAAUAGGAAAAAGGGGUCACAGUUAAGCCUUCUACCUAGAGUUGCUCAGGCUAUGUCUUGCCUGGAUCUUUUUGCACUCUGGAAAGGCAGUAACUGAACUUGAUCCAUGUGGUAGGAACCAUGGCUGCUGGCCGUGCUGGAGAGCAAGACAGAUUCUUAGAACAAAUUCUUUCUAAUUCUUCAGUUAGAAUAUAUAUAUAUAUGAAAACACUAUGGUUGAUAUGUCUUGGUCCUGUGCUUAUCCCAUUUCCCAUACUGUUACCAUCUCUAGGUCAUAAAGAAUUGUGAAUGCAAAAUUAACAUCAGUAAAGAACAAGGUUUUCUAUCAAGUAAUUCCACAAACAAAAUUCAAUUAUUUAAGCACUCUGUUUUUAUAUCCAAUGGAAAUCUAAGAUAUUGCACACAUUUUUCUACAUUCAAAACCUGAAAAUAUCAAAUGUAAUUUACUUUAUUGAGGAAUAAGGAUUGUAAAAAUCAUGAACUGCCUUGUACUGUCAUAUAGUUGGAACCAAAGGAGCUGUUGGGUGUGAAGGGUAGCUUGUUCUUUAUCUAGGCUUCUGCAAUAUCACAGUUUUUAUUUCUUUUUAAAAAGUUCCUCUGUACCUUGCCAUUUCAGCAAUUCACUUUCCACUCUGUAAAUACAACUAUCUCUUAUAAUAUCAAUGUUACUUUCAAAACACUGGAUGUUGGAAACCCAGGAGCCAAAUUUGUUAUAACUGUGUGUGAAAUAAGAUAAACCCUGAACAUGGCAACCUAAGAACCUGCUCCAUCCUCACUUGCUGCUGAAGAAAUAGGGACCACACACCAUCUGCCCACAGUGAUUAAACAAUAGAAUCUUCUGCCUCAGACUCUUUGGAAAUGACCUAGUUCAGCAGACAAUGGAGCUCAAUCAGAUUCAUGCUCAGGAACUGAGGCUGGGAAGCAAUAAAUUCAGAAGAAGCUGUCCUACAGAAAGUGAAGCUAUGAGAUAGCACAGAGGCCAUAGGGGUCCUGACAAUCCAAAGCUGGAAGAAAACAAAGCUAUGAAGGAGAGAAGAUGCAUGGACACUAUAGUGGGAAAGUAGCCCGUGGGAACAUCAAGAAGAAGUAGUUGGUCUGCAAGAUGGCUAACAUACCAACUAGCUGAAUGGUGGCAAUGUGGAGCCCAAAGUGCCACUCCACUUCCUUCUGGCCUGCCUUCCACCUGGGACUCUACCUCCCUGUACUUCCUGCUCUGCCUGGACCCUGACAGCCCUUAACAGACUUUUCCAGGUUCCUGGCCUCAGCUUCCU